CUGGUUCCUCCAGCUCCCUCAGCUCUUCCUUCUACGCUGUUGAGCACUGCGGCCUGCCAGCACCCGGUCCCUGGAAAAGAAAGUGUUGGAUCAAGGUGUGGGCAAUUUAAAAUUUUGAUAGAUAUUGCCAAGUUACCCUCCAUGUGUGUGCCCACUAUCAAUGUGUGAAGACAGUAAAAGCUCCUAUUGGUUCAGUUGGGUAAGACCACUAAUGGUUUAAGAAACUUUUGUUCCCUCCAUUGACAACGCAAUAUGAGUAAUUCACCUGCACCCUGCACUGGAGAGCUUACUGGUAGAAGAAUUAUUCCAUAAGAGACAGAAGUGGGUUGCAGGAUCGCUGAAGAGGAGACCCUGAGUACAUCAAAGGACUUGCAGGAGUUGCAAAGGAAGCUGUCGUUGCUCAUAGACUCUGUCCAGAAUAACUCAAAGGCCACUGACUGAAAACUCCAGUGGCAACUGUUGGCUGGCUAUGAAGUCUACAAACUUAGAGGGGCUUACCAGGAGUGACCAGGUGAACAGAACCAGAGAUUUUUUUUCCAGUCAUCUCUGGAAGGUUAUUUGGAUCAUACAUGCCCCUUGGGAUUAUGACUCAGAGGGUGCUAAGUAGUUACACACUCCUUGGAUGUGUACUCUGGCUUUUUCACUUGUUUGUAGGAUCCUACAGUAGCCACUUAAUAAUUGUUGUGGCUCAGCAGCUCCUCCUGCCUCUCCCUUCUCCCCAAAGAUGUAGAGUUGACUUUGGCAGGGUCCUAAACCCCUAGAGCCUGGGAACUUGACCCCAAGGUCAACUUGACACAAGAAUCUUGUAUCUAAGGGCCCAAUUUGAGGCAAUUAUGGGUUCGGCCUUCUGUCUUCCCUCCCUCUCUUCUUCCUCUUUCUUUCCCCUCUUCUCUCUCACCCUGACCCUCCCUCCCUUCCUUCUCUCUCCUUCUUCUUCUUUUUUUUAGAAAUGAGAAAAACUGUUUCCUUCUCCACUCAUUUGAAACAAGAGUAGGGGUGAAAAUAUCCAAAACAGAACAAGCUCUUCUGCUUUAUUUGCUUUUUAUCAGAAAAAAACCCAGCAACAUUGGUCAAUAAUGGACGCUCAAAGUUGGAAAACAGAGUCCAAACUUAAUUUUAUAAAAGUCAGAACAUUUUUGAAAAAGCCAAAAGGAAUAGCUUCCACUGUUGAGUACUGUUAAGUGCUUAUUACUCUUUGUACUUGAUACUUUUGUAUUAUUUUAAAGAACUUGUCCUGUUAAGCCAUUUCUUUAAA
This is a long non-coding RNA of Phyllostomus discolor (pale spear-nosed bat), 1255 nucleotides long. RefSeq lists it as uncharacterized. The transcript has 3 exons. NCBI's taxonomy places the organism in Eukaryota, Metazoa, Chordata, Mammalia, Chiroptera, Phyllostomidae. The record is from RefSeq and is a predicted model, not a curated record.